Brassica oleracea var. oleracea is the source of this 1465-nucleotide long non-coding RNA. RefSeq lists it as uncharacterized. The record is from RefSeq and is a predicted model, not a curated record. The transcript is spliced from 4 exons. NCBI's taxonomy places the organism in Eukaryota, Viridiplantae, Streptophyta, Magnoliopsida, Brassicales, Brassicaceae.
CGGCCUCUCUCCUUCCUCGGGGUCUCAUGCGAAAAUCUCAUUUUUUUCUUCGUCCUCCAAGCUCGAUCUGUCCAUCUUCUCUGCCAAAAUAUAAUAGUUUUUGUUCGUUUGAUUCGAGAGUGUUCGAUUUCCUCGUUUGAUUCCUCCGUAGAGGAUGUUGAACGUUCGUUUGAUUCGAGAUCGAACGAGUGUGAGCGUUUGAUUCCCAUGUGUGUGAUUGAUUAUAAUCAAGUUCCGACUGUGCUUCGGUAAAAAUCGAGGAGAUUAAAGGCUUCAUCCAUGGCUCUGAAGAAGUAGAGAGCAUACCAGAUACUGCUGUUCCCUCCAUUGUCGACAACGCUGUGGCCGAAUCUUCAGGUGGUGGCAAUAAAAGCUUUUCACUUGUAUGGACAAUGCCAGUGGAGGGUUCUUCGAGUAGUGAUAUGGCUGAAUCAUCAUCGAAGCCUUAGAGGUUAGAUAAAUCAAAGACUGAGAGUCAGCAGAAAGCUACUCCCACUCUUGCCGAGGAUGCCGCCAAGAUUUUCGAUGAUAGAAUCUCUGCAGGGAAGAAGAGAAUUUGCUAGCACACUGUGGUUUUUAGAAAUGAUGUGAACUCAAGUGUUGGUUCUUGUGGAGCAGCCUGAGAGACUCUUCUAUAGGAAACAUCUAGGUGUCUGGAGUGAGGCUUUGGCUGCAACCAGGCCUAGAGGUGAUUCAGAGGUUUCUGAUUUGGAGAUAGAGCGUGACUUACUAACCAGUCCUAAAGACGAUCUUGAAUUCUCCAUUGUGAGAAAGCUUGCAAGAGUACAGCAUCUAUAUUUGAUGUGUCUAGGUUUUUGGUACUUAUUUAUAUAUUUUUUAUUAUAUUUUUCUCGAUUAUUUGUAGUUUUUCGUUCGUGUUUCAGGUAUAUAGGUGAUUAAGCGCAUUAGGAACCAUUGGCAUGUGCAUAUUUGAAUUUCAAGGGAUUUUCAUAUUCAUCUGGAGAGAUUAAAGCGCAGAACGAACAACGGAUCAAGACACGAAGAAAAGGAAGAGAAAAGAACCCAUCGAUCGAUGAGUUUAUAGGCAAAAACCCAUUGAUCGAUGGGUGAUCAGAAAUUUUUAAUGCAUCGAUCGAUGCGUUAAAGCCCAUAAACGCAUCGAUCGAUGCAUCCUCGCUGUGUACAACUUCACCUACUUCCUCCACUUCACCUACUGCAUCCACUCGUCUUUCAUGAUGAAAUUAGAGCCUUAGUCUAAAAAGGAGGGUCAUUGGCUGAUUAUAAAUAGGGAGGACGAGCUCCAUAAGAGAGGGGAGACACCAUCUACACACCAUCUUAGAGAUCAAAACUUGAGAAAAAAUAGAUUUGUGAGUGUUUUUCUAGUUUGAAGAUUUGUUUGAGUUUGAAGUUUGUAGAAGAAGAAGAGAAUUCUUUUCUUCCCAGAGAAGCUUCUAAACCCUCUUGUUUUCUUUAUUUUCUUUAAUAAUGUCAAUUAUGUAUUCUG